CGGGGCUUAAAGUCUUGUAAUUGGAAUGAUGGGAAUUUAAACCUCUUCCAGAGUAUCAAUUGGAGGGCAAGUCUGGUGCCAGCAGCCGCGGUAAUUCCAGCUCCAAUAGCGUAUAUUAAAAUUGUUGCAGUUAAAAAGCUCGUAGUUGAAUUUCUGCUGCAUUGCUUGUGUCCCUCUGGGGUCUGUGCAUGUGGCUUUUUUCGGACGGAGUUUCUUUGUCUGAAUGUUUACUUUGAGAAAAUUAGAGUGCUCAAAGCAGGCUUUCGCCUUGAAUAGUUUAGCAUGGAAUAAUAAAGUAGAACUUUGGUUCUAUUUUGUUGGUUUUAGGUACCAAAGUAAUGGUUAAUAGGAACAGUUGGGGGCAUUCGUAUUUAACUGUCAGAGGUGAAAUUCUUAGAUUUGUUAAAGACGAACUACUGCGAAAGCAUUUGCCAAGGAUGUUUUCAUUAAUCAAGAAC
RNAcentral lists this ribosomal RNA (458 nucleotides) under Theileria annulata. Its description in RNAcentral is "SSU rRNA". It matches the Rfam family "Eukaryotic small subunit ribosomal RNA", at positions 486 to 984 of the family's 1831-position model. The record is from RNAcentral. Lineage: Eukaryota; Apicomplexa; Aconoidasida; Piroplasmida; Theileriidae.